This 24-nucleotide ribosomal RNA is filed under the name Philornis downsi (avian vampire fly). RNAcentral's name for it is "partial 5.8S ribosomal RNA". Lineage: Eukaryota; Metazoa; Arthropoda; Insecta; Diptera; Muscidae. The record is from RNAcentral.
AUUUUAGAGUGCUGCUUGGACUAC